UACGGAGGGGGCGAGCGUUAUUCGGAAUCAUUGGGCGUAAAGGGCGCGUAGGCGGCCCGGUAAGUCAAAGGUGAAAUCCCUCGGCUCAACUGAGGAACUGCCUUUGAAACUGUCGGGCUUGAGGCCGGGAGGGGGUGGCGGAAUUCCCAGUGUAGCGGUGAAAUGCGUAGAUAUUGGGAGGAACACCAAUAGCGAAGGCAGCUCGCUGGGACGUUACUGACACUGAGGCGCGAAAGCGUGGGGAGCGAACAGG
This 253-nucleotide ribosomal RNA is filed under the name uncultured bacterium. RNAcentral's name for it is "partial 16S ribosomal RNA". It matches the Rfam family "Bacterial small subunit ribosomal RNA", at positions 524 to 776 of the family's 1533-position model. The record is from RNAcentral.